CUCUCCAAAAUAUACCCAAAAACCUAUCCAGAUCCAUAUAAAAGUACAUCAUGUAUGUUUUGUGGUUUUGUACUCAAAAGUACAUCAUGUAUGUUUUGUGGUGGUGUGUGGUGGGGUGUGGAGGUGGUGUAGUGGUGUGUAGUGGUGUGUGGAGGUGGUGUAGUGGUGUGUGGAGGUGGUGUAGUGGGGUGUGGAGGUGGUGUAGUGGUGUGUGGAGGUGUGUGGAGGUGGUGUAGUGGUGUGUGGAGGUGUGUAGUGGUGUGUGGGUGUGUGGAGGUGGUGUAGUGGUGUGUGGAGGUGUGUAGUGGUGUGUGGAGGUGGUGUAGUGGUGUGUGGAGGCGUGUGGAGGUGGUGUAGUGGUGUGUGGAGGCGUGUGAGGUGUGUAGGGGUGUGGAGGUGGUGUAGUGGUGUGUGGAGGUGUGUAGUGGGGUGUGGAGGUGUGUAGUGGUGUGUGGAGGUGGUGUAGUGGUGUGG
This is a long non-coding RNA of Clupea harengus (Atlantic herring), 474 nucleotides long. The record is from Ensembl. Lineage: Eukaryota; Metazoa; Chordata; Actinopteri; Clupeiformes; Clupeidae.